GGGCUGGCUUUAGCUCAGCGGUUACUUCGACUUCGCAUCGUUCGUUACCGACCAUUAAGGGUUGUGUUCGAACACCACUACAAUCAAUCGCUUACAUUAACCUGUGAGUGGUUGGUUCGAGGCCCGCGGGCGCUCUCCAGCCCUUUU
Molecule: vault RNA, 147 nt
Filed under: Neotoma lepida (desert woodrat)
Lineage: Eukaryota; Metazoa; Chordata; Mammalia; Rodentia; Cricetidae
Rfam family: Vault RNA
About the family: This family of RNAs are found as part of the enigmatic vault ribonucleoprotein complex.
Source: Rfam by way of RNAcentral